CCCCAAAGGCUGGGAGUUCCCGCAGCCAGCUGGCUUCCCCGAGGCUGGUUCCAGGCCCCACAGCGGACGGGUUGGGGGUGGGCGCGGCAGGAGGGAUAUCAGUCAGAUCUGCAUAUACUUCCGGGAGGGGGGGAAAGGGGGGCCAGCCAGGGGCUCCUUCCUGGAAGGCCUCGUCUGCCUGCAGGGCCGAGACGCCAGUGACCAGCACAUCGUGACCGUGAUGAUGAAGAUGAUGCAAGAGCAACUGGCAGAGGUCGCUGUGAGUGCCAAGCGGGAGGCCCUGGGUGCAGUCGGGAUGGUGGGUCCUCCAGGACCCCCUGGGCCUCCCGGAUAUCCGGGCAAGCAGGGACCCCAUGGGCACCCUGGCCCUCGGGGAGUUCCUGGCAUCGUGGGAGCCGUGGGUCAGAUUGGCAACACAGGGCCCAAGGGAAAACGUGGAGAAAAGGGUGACCAGGGAGAGAUGGGACGCGGGCAUCCCGGGAUGCCUGGGCCCCCGGGGAUCCCAGGACUCCCUGGCCGGCCCGGCCAGGCAAUCAACGGCAAGGAUGGAGCUCGAGGGUCCCCAGGGGCCCCGGGAGAAGCAGGCCGACCAGGCCUACCAGGCCCCGUGGGGCUGCCAGGCUUUUGUGAGCCUGCGGCCUGCCUUGGAGCCUCAGCCUACGCCUCUGCACGCCUCACGGAGCCUGGAUCCAUCAAAGGGCCAUGAGCAUGAGGCUAGGACAGAGCCUGGCGGGCAUCCUGGGGGGAAAGGACUAGGUUCCUCUGGGUGGACAUGCAUCCCAUCCCUCAGACCAGGAGGCCAGCUUUCCCAGGACCUUCCGUCUGGGACCCUGGAGUCCUGAGGAAAAGGAAAUUCUAAAAUAUGGGGAAGGGAAGGGAGGGCAUUGGAAUGAAAAGGUUGAGGCCAACAGACAGGGCAAGUGUGACUGGAGAGUCCCAGCUCCGAAGAGAUGAGUGGCUUUCCUUCCCACAGCACGACUCAGAAGUUACCAAAACAAAUGUCUCCCUAAUCUGUGCCAUCCUCCAGUGGCCAUCCUCUUUAGGGCAGGUGGACUGAGGUCUCUGCCGGUCCCUGAUCCCACCUUCCUCCCCUGAACUUGCUGGGUGACUGCUGGCGGGGGACUACCCUGAGGUAGCCGUCCUAGAGCCAACCCGACUACUUUCUCCCUGCCUCCCUCCCAUCUGAGUAUUUAAACACCCUUUCCCCUUCUCUUCCUGGCAUGACCCCCUCCCACCCACCCCGAGAUCCACCCAGGCCUUUCUGUAAAUAAAAGCCCCUGACUUGGGUACA
Molecule: long non-coding RNA, 1291 nt
Organism: Ursus americanus (American black bear)
Lineage: Eukaryota; Metazoa; Chordata; Mammalia; Carnivora; Ursidae
Source: Ensembl